Molecule: long non-coding RNA, 320 nt
Organism: Dermacentor andersoni
Lineage: Eukaryota; Metazoa; Arthropoda; Arachnida; Ixodida; Ixodidae
Source: RefSeq, a predicted model, not a curated record
CCAAAGAAAAAAGAACCACCGAAAAAAGAACCAGAAAGAAAGGAAGGAGAAGGACACGAUGUUUCGCACGUAUUAGACUAUGGAGCAGCGGGAUAUUAUGUCGGCUGCAGUGAUGCUAACGGCAAACCAUACGCAACCGGAAAGGGUUGUGUGCUUUACUUCCGUGGUGAGCGUACCGACCAACAUGGAUUGAAGGGUCGUAGAUGCAUACUUGGAAAGUGCAAGAACGGAAGAUGCAUACACGAUGGUGGUGGCCUUUGCGGUGUACAAUAAAAUAUCCUGCCGAACUGUUUAUAAUAAAAUACUUUUUUAGAACCUAA